Molecule: long non-coding RNA, 1333 nt
Organism: Gadus macrocephalus (Pacific cod)
Lineage: Eukaryota; Metazoa; Chordata; Actinopteri; Gadiformes; Gadidae
Exons: 5
Source: RefSeq, a predicted model, not a curated record
CAGGCGACGGGUAUAUAUGGUGGAUUGGAAAGAAAACAGAGAUAAAUUAAUAGGAUGAGAGCCAGAGAAGGAGAGAAAGCGAGAAAGAGAGAGGGAGACAGCGCACGAGAGAGAAAGAGAGCGAGAGGGAAAGAGAGGGAGUGAGAGAGAGAAAGCGAGAGAGAGAAAGCGAGAGAGAGAGAGAGAGAGAGAGAGAGAGAGAGAGAGAGAGAGAGAGAGAGAGAGACGCCUCUGUUCUCCCCUACUCCACUGGACUUUAUGCAUUGAACGGGCGCGAGACAUUCCCUGCCGCUAUGUGAGCAGUCAUCGGGAUACUGAGCACGCAGCUAUCGGUGAGCCGCUAUCUAUUCCCCGACCCGGUAGCGUUGCCGUCAGGCGAACCUUCUUUUUUAACGUCAUUUCUCGGGUCGGAAGCUCGCCUUGGAAUCCAACUGCAGUAUUCGUUGGCACCACAAACCCUCCUCUUUCGUUAAUUGGGAAGAUAUUCCCACCCAGCCGUGUGUGUUGUGUGGACUGUAAGCGCGCCAAAGGACCCUCCGCACUGGACGCUCGUGCGGUUUGUUCGCGCGACUUGUGACAUAUGGAGUAGAAAUACAAGCUACAAGUGGGAUGUGAUUCUCUGGGGGUUUCCCCUCUCAUUGACAAGGCCAAGUACACUUUAAUCGGCCUUUAUGCUGUCGGUCCCAUCGUGCUGUGAGAGGAACCGCUCCCCGCCAGACCGUCUGGGCUCAGCAGGAAGUGCCGUUGCAUUAACUUCCAGGUCAACUUCAGAGGUCAUGUGGUCCACACGCCUGCUCUUCCUGUGUUCCCUGUUUGCACCUCUGGCCCUCGUGUGCGGCCGCGCCCCCAUCCCCAUGGCGGUGGUGCGGAGGGAGCUGUCCUGUGAGUCCUACCCCAUCGAGCUGCGCUGCCCCGGGACCGACGUCAUCAUGAUCGAGAGCGCCAACUACGGCCGCACCGACGACAAGAUCUGCGACUCGGACCCGGCGCAGAUGGAGAACACUCGCUGCUACCUACCCGAUGCCUACAAGAUCAUGUCACUCAGAUGCAACAACCGCACCCAGUGUGCCGUGGUGGCGGGGCCUGACGUCUUUCCGGACCCCUGUCCUGGAACGUACAAGUACCUGGAGGUCCAGUACGAGUGUGUCCCAUACAGUAAGUGCCCCUCCAAGCAUCUCACUCUACCUCUCUGUCCCUCAGUCUCUCCCUCUCCCUCUCCCUCUCCCUCUCCCUCUCUCUCUCUCUCUCUCCCUCUCCCUCUCCCUCUCCCUCUCUCUCUCUCUCUCUCUCUCUCUCUCUCUCUCUCUCUCUCUCUCUCUCUCUCUCUCCCUCU